Molecule: long non-coding RNA, 906 nt
Filed under: Homo sapiens (human)
Lineage: Eukaryota; Metazoa; Chordata; Mammalia; Primates; Hominidae
Description: Pvt1 oncogene
Rfam family: Pvt1 oncogene conserved region 7 (bases 493-629)
Source: RNAcentral
GGAGGCAGAGCACUUGCCUGUGUGGGGCCCUGCCCUUCUCUUGAGAGGCAGGCGGGCCCUAGCUGCAGCGUCAAGGUCUGGGGAUUCUGUGGCUCUGUAGGGUGAAGGGCACUGGAGACCUACCAGGGGCUGGGCCAUUGGAGUGGUGGGUGCUGGGGAGCUUCCGUGGGCCCCUCCAGGUCCACUCCUUGCUCUUCUCUGCCUUGUUUUGUGCCCAGAAGGCUGACCUGUGUGGAUGCAUUAUCAGGGUGGAUGCAACACAGGGCUGCCAUGCUCUCUGGUAUCAGUUUGGAAGGCACUGGCAGGAUGGGAAGGCAGGCGGGGAGUGAGGUCAGGGGGCCUAUCCUUCCACUGCCUCCCUGCUGCUCCCUGACUGAUUCAGAGCCAGUCUUGGUGCUCUGUGUUCACCUGGUUCAUCUGAGGAGCUGCAUCUACCCUGCCCAUGCCAUAGAUCCUGCCCUGUUUGCUUCUCCUGUUGCUGCUAGUGGACAUGAGGACAGAAUAACGGGCUCCCAGAUUCACAAGCCCCACCAAGAGGAUCACCCCAGGAACGCUUGGAGGCUGAGGAGUUCACUGAGGCUACUGCAUCUUGAGACUCAGGAUGAAGACCCAGCUUGGGGCUGUCAAAGGUUUUUUGCAUGUCUGACACCCAUGACUCCACCUGGACCUUAUGGCUCCACCCAGAAGCAAUUCAGCCCAACAGGAGGACAGCUUCAACCCAUUACGAUUUCAUCUCUGCCCCAACCACUCAGCAGCAAGCACCUGUUACCUGUCCACCCCCACCCCUUCCCCCAAACUGCCUUUGAAAAAUCCCUAACCUAUGAGCUUUGAAUAAGAUGAGUACGAACUUCAUCGCCCACGUGGCGUGGCCGGCCUCGUGUCUAUUAAAUUCUUUUUCUACUACAA